RNAcentral lists this small nuclear RNA (92 nucleotides) under Echinops telfairi (small Madagascar hedgehog). The record is from RNAcentral. Lineage: Eukaryota; Metazoa; Chordata; Mammalia; Afrosoricida; Tenrecidae.
GUACUUGCUUUGGCAGCACAUACACUAAAAUUGAAAUGAUACAUAGAAGGUUAGCACGGGCCUGGUGCAAGUAUGAAAUAUUCCAUCUUCUN